GUGAGGAAUAUUGGUCAAUGGGCGCAAGCCUGAACCAGCCAUGCCGCGUGCAGGAAGACGGUCCUAUGGAUUGUAAACUGCUUUUAUUUGGGAAUAAACUCCGGUACGUGUACCGGCCUGAAGGUACCAAAUGAAUAAGCACCGGCUAACUCCGUGCCAGCAGCCGCGGUAAUACGGAGGGUGCAAGCGUUAUCCGGAAUCAUUGGGUUUAAAGGGUCCGCAGGCGGUCUUAUAAGUCAGUGGUGAAAGCCUACAGCUCAACUGUAGAACUGCCAUUGAUACUGUAGGACUUGAAUUCGAUCGAAGUGGGCGGAAUGUGACAUGUAGCGGUGAAAUGCUUAGAUAUGUCACAGAACACCGAUAGCGAAGGCAGCUCACUAGGUCUGGAUUGACGCUCAGGGACGAAAGCGUGGGGAGCAAACAGGAUUAGAAACCCGGGUAGUCC
Molecule: ribosomal RNA, 445 nt
Filed under: uncultured bacterium
Lineage: Bacteria
Description: bacterial SSU rRNA
Rfam family: Bacterial small subunit ribosomal RNA
Source: RNAcentral